Molecule: ribosomal RNA, 253 nt
Filed under: uncultured bacterium
Lineage: Bacteria
Description: partial 16S ribosomal RNA
Rfam family: Bacterial small subunit ribosomal RNA
Source: RNAcentral
UACGAAGGGGGCUAGCGUUGUUCGGAAUCACUGGGCGUAAAGGGCGCGUAGGCGGCCGAUCAAGUCGGGGGUGAAAGCCUGUGGCUCAACCGCAGAAUUGCCUUCGAUACUGUUUGGCUUGAGACCGGAAGAGGUAAGUGGAACUGCGAGUGUAGAGGUGAAAUUCGUAGAUAUUCGCAAGAACACCAGUGGCGAAGGCGGCUUACUGGUCCGGUUCUGACGCUGAGGCGCGAAAGCGUGGGGAGCAAACAGG